Leucogyrophana mollusca is the source of this 95-nucleotide non-coding RNA. Lineage: Eukaryota; Fungi; Basidiomycota; Agaricomycetes; Boletales. The record is from the annotation of a GenBank genome assembly.
UGCCCCAUGGCUGAGUUGGUUACAGCGUCCGACUGUUACGAUCACAUCAUGUGAUAGACAUCGGAAGGUCGUGAGUUCGAGCCUCACUGGGGCAG